GAAACUCGCCUACAUGAAGCUGGAAUUGCUAGUAAUCACAGGUCAGCAUACUGUGGUGAAUACGUUCCCGGGCCUUGUACACACCGCCCGUCACACCAUGAGAGUUGAGAAUACCCGAAGCCAGUGACCCAAGCGAGAGCAGGGAGCUGUCGAAGGCAGGCCGGAUAACUGGGGCGAAGUCGUAACAAGGUACC
RNAcentral lists this ribosomal RNA (194 nucleotides) under uncultured bacterium. Its description in RNAcentral is "partial 16S ribosomal RNA". It matches the Rfam family "Bacterial small subunit ribosomal RNA", at positions 1307 to 1500 of the family's 1533-position model. The record is from RNAcentral.